UUGCGAUCGGGACAUUUAUAGACUUAAAAAAAGCAUUUGAUACUGUACUGAAGAAAGUACCGGAGCCUAUAAAGGACUGUAUAAUUAUCAAAGGGAUGUAAUCUGACUCAAGGAAUCUAUAACCAAAUAAUAUAAUAAACCUGUGUACAUAUUUAGCUAAGAGUGAGAGGAGACCAAAGCUACGUUUAACAAUUUAAUACAGACAAUAAACUACCCUAGAGAUACACAUUAAACACAUUGACAUAUAAACACUUCAAUACACACUCACACUCUACCUCCCCAAUGCUGUACCCUCCCUUUAACCCAAUCACACAGCACGCACACACGCAGACAGUCCGACCUGAGGUCCCUCGGUGGGCCUAACGAAUGUCCUCGUGCUCGUAGUGCGGCGCCGCUGGGUCGUUGGUGCACUUGGAGUGGGGGUGGGGAGAGGGGGUGAGUAGAAACUGCCCAUAGGCGUCGAUUACGCCGGGGACGCCGGGGACGCGUCCCCACCAGUUUUCGUAAAGACUAAUUUUGUCCCCACCAGAAAAAAAAAAAAAAAAAAAUAUAUAUAUAUAUAUAUAUAUUGUUUUUUAAAAAUGAAUGUUUAAAGCGCUAGACAGAUGCGAACCAAUCCACAAAAAAUCGAUCUGCAUACGGCACACAGCCGUCAACAAUUUGCAACAAUUAUAACAUUUGGAUGAGUAGUUCUAGAAUGGGGGAGGGGUGGGUGCAACGGUGGGCGGCUCCUUCUCUGUGUAAUCUGAACCUGACUGCUUGCUGUGCACUUCCAUGGACAAUCUGCUGCGGUUGCAGCCUCAUGCAUUUGAGGAAAGGAGGUCCGGAGGAGGAACUUGUUUCUGCCAACUCACCUCUUCAUUGCCAUCUACCAGUUCCUGCCUUUCAUUAAGCUCUGGUGUUCCUUAUAAAUAAAUAAAAAUGUGUUAACUCAAUUGAUUAUGCCCUCUAUUUUAUGAGAUGUAUGUGGUGUGCAAACAAAAGUCUUGUAACCUUUAUUGUAAUGAUUUGACCACUAUGACGGUAUGUUGGUUGUGGUAUAUGUUAUCAAUAUUGUAAUUGGUUUUUGACAAAAUAUUGGUUUGGAGUGUGCGGUUGCCUGGUACCAUGGUUGUUACUUGGUACAAAUAAUAUGGAUGAUUUACGACCAUCUAGUGGGGAGUCUGAAAACUGCUAACGAAACGUCAUUGAAGUGAAAAUAAA
This 1203-nucleotide long non-coding RNA is filed under the name Gadus morhua (Atlantic cod). RNAcentral's name for it is "lncRNA (ENSGMOG00000036191.1)". The record is from RNAcentral. Lineage: Eukaryota; Metazoa; Chordata; Actinopteri; Gadiformes; Gadidae.